Molecule: long non-coding RNA, 2578 nt
Organism: Impatiens glandulifera
Lineage: Eukaryota; Viridiplantae; Streptophyta; Magnoliopsida; Ericales; Balsaminaceae
Exons: 3
Source: RefSeq, a predicted model, not a curated record
CCAAUUAUUUUCCCCGACCAAUCAUACGGCGACAAACCUUCUCCCUCUGUCCUGUCCCGUCCUUCUCUCUCUCUUUCUCUCCAGGUCGACCUGCUUAUAACCCGAUCCAAUUCCACCAUCGGCCAUAAGGGGUUCAGUUUAGAAAGAAAAAAAAAAAAGACCCCCCCAUCCACACACACCGACACAGAAACCCUAAUAAUUAAGAGGGUUUGAGAUCUAGAAUGAUUCCAUAAAUGGGUCUUAACUUAAUUGUAGAUCUGUCUUUGUCUGUCUGUUAAUGUUCUUAGAUGAUCUUUCUCAGCUUACCCUAGCUUCUGCUGCUGCUCUUGCUGCCGGAAGAAAGAAAGAAAGAAGAAAGAGAAAGAUGGCUGGGCUGACUGACAGAAGAGAGUGAGCACAUAACCGCAGAUAAUUGUAUGUUACUGUUGUGCUGUGUUGUGCGUGUGCUUACUACUCUUCUGUCAGUCCUUAAAUAUCGUUCUUGCCUGCCUUUUCUCUUCUCUUCUAUUCGAUCUUUCUUAUAAAAAAACCUACCUAGCUAGGUUUACAAAAAUAGAAACUUUUUUUAACAAAGAUUACGACACUAGCUAGCAGCGGCGGCGGCAUCUUUCUUCUAAUUCGUGUUCCAGGUCAGCUUUGUAUAUGCCUUUAUAUAUAUAUGCCUACUUUUGUUUAUACUAAUAUGUUUUUCUUUAGUUUCAGGUUUUUUUUUGAAGACAUGGAUUUCUUCUAGCUAACCAUGUUUAUUAUUAUUUGAACAACCUCUCCACUAUUUGGUUUAAUUAUGAUUCUUAAUAGUUUACUUAGCAUCCCCUUGUGCCACUUUCUUUAAUUCUAUAUAUUUUGCAUUGAUAUAUAUACACUAUUUUAAUAUCAAAAUAAUUAGUUUAGUGGUGCCAAAAUGGCAUGUCUUUGCAAAUAUUAAGCUAUUUUCAAAUCAUUAAUUUGGAUGGUAUUAUAUAGUUAGGAAUAACAUUGCCCUUUUAUGUGGUCAUUAUUGGUCUUAUGAGUCAACUUUAUUAUAUUUUUUUGAGUCAUUGUCAUCAACUUUUAAUUUCUUAUAAAUGUAUACUAUAUUGGUAUAUUUGGGAAUUCAUCUACUUAUAAUUUUUUUUUUUUUGGUUAGUUAUACCUAUUUUCGUUUUGAGAUUUUAUUUGGUAAGUUUGAUGCGCUAACUAACACAAUUAAUCCGUUAUCAUUGUUGUCACGCUCAUUUUAGGUUUAAAUUAAGAAUCAAAUCUUAAUCGAUUCGCCAUCGGUUUAAUUGUUACAAACUUCUUUCUACAUGAGUAACGGGUUACCCGUUUUUGGAGUUCAUCUAUAAUUUUACUUUUUGUAAAUAGUUCAGGUGAAGAUUUGAAUCGAUGACCUUAAAGAUAUGCGUUUAUGUGUUCUACCACUAAGUUAUGAGUCUCUACUAUAUAGUUCAUUUAUAAUUACUUAGAAUGAACUAUUGACAUCACUUUUAUAAUGCGCUAAGAACCUUAGAUAGGUGUCGCAAAUGGAAACGGAAGAAGGAAUGUAUCGACCAUAUAAAUUCACACCAACAUAAAGGAAUAUCGAUGCUAUUAUCCAUGUGGAAAAUGAACGUUGACACGCUCACAAUAUACAUCAAUCAAAUUGGCGAGGACAAAAAAAUGUGGGAUGAUUGGAAACUAGCCUUUAAACAAAGCGUGCCUUUUGAUGUGUGAGGAGGACGACGAGGGUUUUGAAGGUACGCCCCCACAACUGUGCUGAUUUAACAGAAAAAGGUAAGCGAUUCUCAUUAUUUUUUCAUAAAUUCUUCUCAUUUUUCCGUUUAAUUGAUUGCUUCCGCUCUCGAUUGUGUAUCUGAUUUCUACAUUUACGAUCUGAAUCUUCCUCACUUGCGAUGUUUCUCUGAUCUUGCGUUUUUUUCCCUUUUAAGAGGGUUUGCUAGAUGCAAUGUAUGAUCGCAUCUCUCUCUCCCUCUCCUCAUAUGGGUUGAUUCUUCGAUUCUAUGGCGAGUCGAGCGAUUGAUUCAAUUUCUGAUUUUCGUUCAACUCUUAGGGUUCCAACCAAAGAAGAUGGCUAGGACGUUACAGACAUCGAUUUACAUCUACUACAGAGAUGUUUUGCAUCGAAUAAUGGAUAUGCCCAUGAAGAAUUCAGGUUAAUAAUUAUGGUGCGAUUCCAUGUGUCAUGACAAGAUGAAAAAGGUGAAAAUAAUGAACAUGGCCACUGGCCAUAAGAAGACUUCUGGUGGGACAGUUAGAUGAAUUCAAUUGGAAGUAGUUCUUAAAAAGGCUCAUUUACCUUGUUGAAAUCGACGAAAGAUUCACAUUUUUUAAGCCAAGCUUUCUGAAAGAGAAAAUCAAGACUCCGAUCAUCCCUACUGCAAGAAUCAUAUAUAUUUUUCGGGGAUUAGAUUUGUUUCGUCACAAAGGGUUCUUUCUUUCUAAAAGAAGAGGUGUUUAUUUGAUCAAGUACUUCAUCACAUGGAAUGAUCAUGAUAGGGUUAUAGGAAAAUUCAUUCCCCUUCCCUUUGUUUGUCUGUUGUUAAUCAUUUGUAUUGAAAUGAUUAAUAUUAAUGAGAAUUAUUGUAAGAUAAUUUAUAAA